UAAGGUCACGGCGAGACGAGCCGUUUAUCAUUACGAUAGGUGUCACGUGGAAGUGCAGUGAUGUAUGCAGCUGAGGCAUCCUAACAGACCGAGAGAUUUGAAC
RNAcentral lists this ribosomal RNA (103 nucleotides) under Euterpe edulis. RNAcentral's name for it is "4.5S ribosomal RNA". The record is from RNAcentral. Lineage: Eukaryota; Viridiplantae; Streptophyta; Magnoliopsida; Arecales; Arecaceae.